Molecule: ribosomal RNA, 460 nt
Filed under: uncultured bacterium
Lineage: Bacteria
Description: partial 16S ribosomal RNA
Rfam family: Bacterial small subunit ribosomal RNA
Source: RNAcentral
ACUACGGGAGGCUGCAGUGAGGAAUAUUGGUCAAUGGGCGGAAGCCUGAACCAGCCAAGUCGCGUGAGGGAAUAAGGCCCUACGGGUCGUAAACCUCUUUUGCCGGGGAGCAAGGGCGGGGACGUGUCCCGGCCCGGAGAGUACCCGGAGAAAAAGCAUCGGCUAACUCCGUGCCAGCAGCCGCGGUAAGCCGGAGGAUGCGAGCGUUAUCCGGAUUUAGUGGGUUUAAAGGGUGCGCAGGCGGCCUGUUAAGUCAGCGGUAAAAGCCCGGGGCUCAACCCCGGCGAGCCGUUGAAACUGGCGGGCUGGAGUUGGAGAGAAGUACGCGGAAUGCGCGGUGUAGCGGUGAAAUGCUUAGAUAUUGCGCAGAACUCCGAUUGCGAAGGCAGCAUACCGGCGGCGAUCUGACGCUGAGGCACGAAAGCGUGGGUAUCGAACAGGAUUAGAUACCCGUGUAGUC